Molecule: long non-coding RNA, 5069 nt
Organism: Anastrepha ludens (Mexican fruit fly)
Lineage: Eukaryota; Metazoa; Arthropoda; Insecta; Diptera; Tephritidae
Exons: 5
Source: RefSeq, a predicted model, not a curated record
UCAAUAAUCCCCACUCAUCUGACCAAUUUCGUAACCAUUCAACUUCACGUUGGUGGCAGUUUAUCUGGGUGAGAACAGCUGCGCGUCAAUUCCUCAAGCCAGUCAAAACUAUCUAUGCAACUUCAGAGCAAAUUUAGUGAUUUUAUCUAACGUAAAAAAAAAAAAAUAUUUCAAAGAUUUAGGUGUUUGUUUAAGGCUUCAGAAUUUAUUUCUCAACUUUGUUUCAUUUGGAAUGAGUUUUUCUAAAUUAUUUACUAACUCACAGAGCUUUCAUUUAUUUAAGUGAUGUAGCAAAAUUUACUUAAACAGUGCAUUCCAAUAGUAUGUAGAAUGACGCGGUGACGUGAUGAACAACAAAAACAGCAACAACAACAACAAUACGCAUAUGCUGUUUACAUGCAAGAGAAUAAAAAUGAAUAAAAUGAAUAAAAAUGAAGAAAUCAACGAGCAGUCGGCAGUUUAUGUACAGACUUACUGCCUUAUCUGAAAGUAAAUGAAAAAUAUAUGCAUACAUACACAUAUGUACAUACAUACGUACGUGUAUUCGUGUGUAAGUGAAUAAAUAGCAGACAUUUUAGAUAAGCAGAACUGAAGAAAUGAAGUGUACACCUUUUCGAAAGAUACGCGUAUUUAAAAUGUAAGGGGAUCAAAUGCACUUUUUAAGUACUACCAGGGUUUUUCUGAAAGUGAAGUUAGGGGAAAGAAAAAAGCAGCUGAGGGAGUUGAUGAGAGGCCGAACGAAAUUGGUUAAAUUUUUAGGGGUGUAAUUACGGCCGGAUAUACAGCCAGUAGUUGGAGAAGGAAAGUAUCUAUAGAAGUGCAAUGAUAUGAAAUUUGAAAUAUUUAAGAAAAAUUAAAUGUAUGAUGUUAAACACAUAACACGCAUGAGAAAUACUUAUGAGUGAGCCUCUGCUGGGGGAUUGCAAUUGUAAUGGCGCCAUGUAAAUUUAGACAUUCGACACAGCUUCACAACUUAACAACGAGAUAAUGGAUAACUUUUCAACUUCCUGGCAAGCAGCAGGGAUGAAUGUGAAUUUCCUUUUCCUUAAUAGCCAAAGGGAAGGAGAGAGCCUCAUUUUUACAUACAUACACGUAGAUAUGUAUUCACUUAGUGGAAUGUUGCACUUGCGCUUUUGCGUCAUUAUUAUUGCUGGUAUCACGUAUAGAUAUGAACGGCCAUAUGCAUAUACAUGUAAGCGUAGUUGUGUUUAGUUGCGUCUUGUGAGAAAAGUCGACCUGAAAUACGGUAAAUAACUUUAUCAAACAUAUUAUCUUAUUUAUAAGCAUUAUCGUGCGGUGUGUUUUUUAACUUGUUGAUUAUUAUUAUUUUUUCUGUUUUUUUUCGUUUUUUUUGUAAGGUUUCCCUCUCCCUAUCUAUGAAAAUUUCAUUUAACACACAACACCAACGCCAGAAACACAGAAAUAUCCAUUAAAAUUUCAGAUAUCUUGCAGUUGUGGUUUUAGUUGAGAAAGUGUAGGAAUUGCAUUAAGUGUGUCGAAGGAAGCGUAUGGCCAGAGAUCGUUUCAUAAUUUACGCGUACAUCAAAAACAGAAAGCCGAGAAAUAUAUUAAAAUUUAUCUGCAAAUACAAUGCUAAAAUUAAGCAAAUACAAAAUUGUUAAAGAAAUAGUAAAUUUGUGUCGGAAUAAAUGUUUUCGUCUGACUUGUUUAGAGCUGCUUAUAAAUUCUGUGCUAAGAAGGCAGAUUUCAAAUAAAUGUGCGGGUAUACAAUUGCCACAAAAAACAAAAAAAAACAACAGGAACAACAAAAAAUUUAUGGUCUAUAAAUGUGUGAAAUGUUAAAUACAAGCAAGUGUGUGUAGAAAUGAAUGCACACAUACAUGCACAUGCGAAAAAUGUGUUUGUGCGCGCGUUGCUAUAUCAAAUGGCGUAAAGUGCUUUAUAGCCAACUAUAAAAUAAUUGUGCCUAUUUUUGUUAGCAUUUUACCUUUUUUAUAAUGACAUUUUCCGCAGUAUUUCGUAACUACCUAUGUAUGGGUGCACACAUAUUUAAGCUACACGCACAUACAUACAUAGGCAUACAAGUGACUAAACAUAUUAUAGAACAACAACAAAGUGUAUUAUAAUCAAAUAAUAAAGUCGUGUGAAAUAAGAAAAUAACGAAAAAUUAUUGCAAAUAAUUCACAGUUGACAAAAACGAAAAGCGCCUUAAUAAAAGAAAAAAAUACUCAAGCAGCAGCUCAAGUGAAAUAUAUUUAUAUGAAAGCUCACGAAUGUGACGUUUGCGCUAUCGCUUCGUUUAAGCGAACGCUGAGCACCAUUUUGAAAAAUAAAAUAAAGAUGGUUGCGAUAAGGUAAAAUAAAUAAUAAUGAAUAUUAAGAAAGCAAAAAAAAAUUCCAUAAGAACGAAAGGAGUCAGCAAAUUACGCAGGCUGAGGGCAACAAAAAAUUCAACAACAAAUUUAAGUAUGGCCACCAUAGUACGUCAACUGCGAUUUAUAGGUGCAUACACACACACGCAUAUGCCCACAGUGCCACCUUUGCUGUACGCCAUAACUGUUGCAGUGACAGCUCGUUAGCGAUGACAAUGUGACAGCGCUUGCCUAUCGCGCCCAACCAACGCCCUUCAGCCAGCCAACAGCCACUUGAUACACACCAGCACGCACACCAAUGAAGCUACCGUUUUUAGCUUGUCCAACAGAACACCACUUCAAACGGUAACUAACCCCAAAUGCGCGAGUGCAAUUGUAAGCUCUGCAAAUACUCGUACUUUGUUAGCUGGGCGGUUGGUUGGUGCGUCGCUUGUCGGGUGUGCUAGCAACUCCCUUCUCCUCCAUACGCCAUGGCGCGUUGCUUAAGUGCCGCAAUAAUUGAAAGAGUUUAUUGCUGUCACAAAACACUAACGGUCUUAUUGUAUUUUGGAAUUAUGACAGUCGCUUUGCAAAUGGUUGACUAAAUUUAAUGAUGUCGUUGUGGUGGAAAAAAAAUGUCAAGUGAAGCUCGCUUACUCGGUUUUCACCACAGUCUCACGUUCGUACUUGCGUUCGAAUUCGUGCAACUCGAAUAGACUUGGUUGGUGAUGUUGAUGCAAGUCUUGGUGGUGUUGCAUGUGCAGUGCAAUUGAUUGUGUAUUACCUUGUUGUUGUUGUUGUUGAAGCUCAAACAGCAUUUCAUCCUCCUCUAACGAUGGACUGCGGCUGAGUGCCACAUCCUGUUGCAGCAAAUGUGAAUGCUGGUGUUGAUGCUGCCGGUGAUGUUGCUGCAGUUGCUCGAUUUUAAUGGAAUCUUCAUGUAUCGGCACCAAUUCGCCGAAGUUCGAGUGCGCUGGCGACACCGAACCGGCUGGACUUUGUGGAUCAAGGUGUUGUUGUUUCUGUAUUUGCUGCUGCUGCUGCUGCAGGUAAUGCUGAUGAUAGUGCAGAGAGUUGCAAAGAUUAGAUAAAUGUGUCGGUUGUUGUCCAUGUUGCAACUGAUGUUGGUGUGUCAAUUGUUGAAAUAUCUGUUGCUGCGUCGAUUGAUGGUGAUGCUGUUGCUGUUGCUGUUGGUGUUGUUGCAGUGUUGUCGUCGGUGUGGAUGGUGUGACCGGUGUUGGGGGCAUUGAUACCGAUGCUGAGGGGGAAGAGUGUGGCGGCAUCAGAUGCAUAAGUUGCUGUGCCAUUAAUUGAUGUUGUUGGUGCUGCUGCUGCUGUUGACUCGGUGAGGAUGACGCGAGCUGUUGCUGUGUCUGCAUUUGUUGCUGUUUGAGUUAGUUGAGAUGAUGAAUUCAGUACAGUUGAUGAGUAAUACCACCGAAAGGAACACAGAAACACAGAUACAGUGAGAAAGCGAGAUAGAGCGAUGAACGAUGGACGAUGAAGCGCGCGUGUGAAAGAGAGGAAGAAGCAAAGGAGACAAAACAAAACAAUUAAUUUCGCAUGCUUCGGGCAAAGAGAAUAAUUUAUAAAACAAAAAAACAUAAUAAUAAUAAUUAUUAUAAAUCAUUCGAAAACUUACCAUUGUUGGUAUUUGUGGAUGGAUUGGAGUUUGCAUGUAAUUUGUUGAUUUUGCUGGGCUUUUCGCUUUUAGUGCCCUUCGCUUUACGCUUGCGAGUCUGAAACGGAGAAGAACGAUUAAUUUGAGGUUAAAAUUUUAUUUGGCUAAUAAUGUAUUAUAUAAUUAAUUGAAUUUUUUUUUCGAAACUUAGUUACGAAAAUUUUGUGGCAUACAAAUUUUUUAGUUUUGUUAGCAACCAGUAACAGUCAAAGUCAAAGCAACAAUCGUCGACGAGUUGGUCUAGAGAACGUAGCGGACCGUGGCAAACAUCAAAUAAUAGUAAAAUAGGAACAACCAUAGGCAGCACUAGAGCCGCGAAGGAGCUUUCUUUAACCCAGAUAACUCGACGAGCUUAUUAGUGCGAAGGUUUACUUCGUUUGCAGAAGAUGCCAAGCUGGUCACUCAUUAGAGCCAGAGAAUGUUAAUGAGAAGGCGCAAAUGUUACUGAUGCAUUUAUGGCACACAGCUCAUAUAGGCGGCUAUGCAGCGAAUAUCGUAGUCAGCGCAUUGUAUUUAUUAACACUCUAAUGAAAAUUACAUGCAUAUAUGUAUGUAUAUAUGUAAUAUGAUAAAUGAAUGUUCCUAAAAUUCCUUAUUUUAUAUUUUCGCCAUUUUAAUAUACUACAAAUUGCAAUGUAAAAACCUACUUGUAUGGUGUCCUUCUUCAUGGUCAAUGGACGUUUCACGCUAUGCAAUUUGAAGUAGAGUCCGCAAGCAUUGCAGACGGGUUCACCGUUGGGGUUGCGACGCCACAAAGAAGUAUGCGUUGUGAGGCAAUUUGAGCAGGAGAGACCGACACGACGGGAAGCACUCUAAAUAUGGAAAAAAUUAAUCGAAACAGAUUUCAUCAACAAAUGAAGCGAGAACGUUCACGCAACAACAACUAUGUACAACGACAACGAUGGUGAUGGUGAAUGGCGACGGAGGCAAAAGCGGAGGCGGAUUUCUAUAAGAUUUAUUUAAUUCUGUUUUUUUUUUUUAUGUACAAGAAAAAAGCAAAUAUAUGAACUUUAAUUUUGCUUCACAAGUUUUUGCACACUUUCUCAGAGUUUGAAAUAUAUUUCUAUCAACAUCUA